CCCUGCCUCGCUCCUCCGCCUUGCGUCAUGCCCACCUGAAAUAUUUUUAAUAUAAAAUAAUUUGAGAAAAAUACUUUUAAGAAGUCAACUUAAUGUUUUUCAAAAAUAUUAUGAAAAUUUUUAUUCAACAAAGAUAUUAAGAACUUUGACACUUAAUUUUUAAUUUCAAUCAAAUGUUUUUCACGCAACUAAUUAAUAUUAUUAAAUUAUUGAUUGAAAAUAUUGAUCAACUAUAAAAAAGUUAUUUUAAAGUAAAUAAAAAUGUCUGUGUCCCUUGAGAAAAAAUUGAAAAUAAGAUAAACUUAGCCAUAUUGAUUAGUUAAGUGGAAAAGCAUUUGAUUGAAAUUAUUAGGUGAGUAAAUUAACGUAAAAAAUGGUAUCUUUAGGAGAAUUUAAUUAAAUUCAAGUUAAAGUUAGAUUAUGCAAAUAAUUACUAUUAAAACAAUAAAUACAAAAAAAGUAAAUAACUUUUUUUGGGCUGUACCUAAGGGUUUGGGCCAGCUGUAUUAAGGUUUUGGGUCUAAUGCUGCACUUUGGGCUUUGGCCCAUGUCACUGUAUAGCUGUGUAUAUACUAGUGUAUAUCAUCUACUUCCCCUGUAUAUUGGACAUAUACAGCCCAUUUUACACCUGUAUCUUAUGUCGUCUAUAUAUCAACUCCAUUUCUUGCAUACUUGCUUCCCUUUCACUCGAACAAGAUGAGGUUGACUCGAUGAAUAUCAGUUGGGUUUCAACCAACUCGAAAUUCAAAGAUGACUAGAUGACUCCCAAUGCAGGUGUCACAUACAAAGAGAAUAAAAUCACAUCAGGAAUGUGAUUUUAAAACUAAAGCAUAUUGUGUAAACUAUGUGCCAAAAGUAUCAUACUAAUUCAAAGCAAUCUAAACAGCGAGAUGUUAACUUCAUUCAACAAUAUUAAGAUGUAUAAUCAAAUUUUCAUUGUUUCUCAAGACCUAACAAUCAAUAGGAAUAUCAUGGUGAAAUAUUCAUACUAAUAUUUUUGAAGGGGCGUGUAAAGUUCAAAGUGGAGACAUCUGAAUAAAUUAUAAGAAAACAAUAACAGUAACUACUAUCACAGGAAUCGGUCCCAGACGCGCCCCAUUGAUAGGCAUUACACCAUGUAAACUGGUGGCACAAAUAGCAAACCAAUGGAUUCAUUGAAGUGAAGAAAUCAAGAAAACGGAGAAGAAGCAGUAGAAUCAAUAUUGCUUGGGCGACUAGGAAUUGAAGAAGUGUUACAAGGGUAAAAUAAAAUUCUGGGAUUGGUAUCUGAAAAUUGCAGUUGUUUCGGCCAUGAUUGGAGGUUCCAUGGAGUUUCUCAUGAUUAAGACUGGAUUUUAUGAUAAAGUGACUGUUCUAGAAGCGGAAAAGAGAGCCUGGGAGAAUUCUCCUGAAGCCAAGGCUGUCAGAGACGCUCUUAAUCUAUGGAGACAUCAGGAUGCAGAAACAUGAAAGGAUUCUUAGCUCUGUCACUUCAGUUAGAGAAUUAUAAGGCAACUCAGGGAUUGGCUUUGAAGGAAAAUUGACCUGACGUAGUGCUUUUUUGGGCUUGCUCCUAUUGAUAUUUCUCAUCGAAUGUUUAUUGAAGAGCGUGUUGCAACUUACAACUGAUUGUUUCAUCAACUUGGUGGUCACUUCCUUGCUCUUUCAAGAUUAGUACUUUGCUUUCCUGGAUCUGCAUGGUUAAGAGAAACAAUCAGUUGCACCUCUGGGAAAAAUAGUGGACUAGAUAGCCAUUUGAGAGAAAAAAAACUACUAUCACAGAGAGGAAAUGUUGGCAUUGAUAGCCUCUUUGGUUAUUACAAGAAUACAUGCUCAGAUAGGAAUUGGUACAAAUCCAGAAUGAAGAAAAGAUAAAUGGAAAAGGAAAAUUGAAGCCAACAGAAAAUAACAAUCAAUAAAUACCUGAAAAUUGCUUUGAGAAGAACAAAGAUGAGGUAUUUCUUGAAAAACUUAUUUGAAAAGAUAGAGAAUGAAGACAUAGACAGAGAUGAGCAAACAAAGAUGACUAAAUUAAUCAAUAUCCGAAAAAGGUCUAGCACAGACAAGAUUUAAUCAAUCACAAAUAGAGGACGAAUCAGUAGAUAAAAUGAUUAUAAAUAGAAACACUAAGAUGAAGAAAAUGAAUGCAACAUUGAUAUGAUACAGACAAAAUGAAUGCAACAUUGAUAUGAUACAGAGGUGAAUAACAAGAAUAACUCAAACACAUAGCAAUCAUUUAAGCAUAUCCACUACUCCAAUAUUUAGUAAAAUCCGAAAUAUAUGGCAACCAAAGUCUCCCUAACAGAUUGGUCAAAAGGAAAUUGAUAAAGUAAAAUAGUCGGGGUAAUGAAAUGGUAGUAAUGCUAGAGGUUUUCUUUUAGCUAGAUGGGAGGAGCGGAGAAAGGGAGGAUGGCAUUAAAGGUCGAAAGAAAACUUGCCCGAGAAUAUUUCAAGGAGCUAAGUGUACAUUACCAUCAUAUUCCUUGCGUAACAGGACCUCAGGAAUGUAAGCAGGUGUUCCUACAGCUGACUUGGGUUGUGAAUGCAAUAAUCCUGACUGCAUUAUGAAGAAAAUAGUAAAUAAAAAAUGUAAUAUCCUACUACAUAGAUGUAGAUAACUUUCCAAUUAGAACGCAAGAAACCUUAGAAUAACCGAAAUCAAUAUUUUAUGACGUGAUGUUGGGCUUCCAUCAAGUUCAAAGUGGACAAGUAAAGUGAACGGAGAGAAUAAAAGAGUAAGUUGGACUAAUUGUUAAGAUGAAUGCAACAUUGGUAUGAGACAGAGGUGAAAUAAACAAGAAUAAUUCAAACACACAGCAAUCAAUUACCAACAGAGAGCUUUUGUGGAGCUUGAAUCUCUACUAUGCACCUAACAUUAAUCUAUACUAACACUAAAUCUUAAAGAAAUGGCAGCAAAGGAGCAAUAUGUUUGAAGCAAGAAUCCUAGUAGCAAGAACAUACUUCUAUCUGUUAAGGAUUCUCAAGCCAAAGAUUUCAUUGAUAAACAAAAGACUCAAUCUAUUAUAUGUUAAAUGAGGGACUCAAACAGUGAUUAAAACACUCAAACGAAGUAAGACAGAUCAGCAUAUUGCGAUGAAGAUCCACAAACGAGUAAACCAAAAUACAUAGCAGAUUCAUAUGAUACUUAGACAAACAGUGAACUAAGACUGGAAAUCAAAGCAAAGAAACAACAAGACAUUGAGCAUCUAGAAAGAAAAUUCAAAAGAUGAUCCUAAUUCAUACUACAUUAAGCAACAUAUAGAGAUAGUAAUAUUUCUUAAACUGCUAUUAAAAAUAAAUAACAGCUAUUUGCCAAACUUAAACCAGAAACAGAUGUACCGCUAUUUAACUAAACAGAGAAUUAACUGGAAAAAGAUGAAGCAUUAAAGGAGAAAAAGGUUACCUUUUUCUGGGCAGCAAUUGGGACGAGACGAAGUUUCCACCACUGAAAUGGUGGCUGGACUCCCACGAACAAAGAAGCUUGAUACAGCCGAAGAAGAAAACGCUUCCAUUAGCUAUAUGAAAACCCCUCUGUUUUAGAUGAUUAAGAUUUUGUGUUUUUUUAUGGUCAAAUCCGUGAAGGAAGGGGGUUUACAGGGAGAAAAUUGGUGGAUUUUGUGGGGGAAACCUGCAGAAACUUAGAAAAGGGAGGUGUUCAAAUGUCUGUCAAUCUAUAUAAACACAUAGCAAUCAUAUGCACUUAAAAUUAAUCUAUACAAACACAUAUCAAUCAUAUGCACUCAAUGUUAAUCUAUACUAACACUAAAACUUAAAGAAAUGGAAGCGAAGGAGCAACAUGUUUGAAGCAAAAAUCAUAGUAGCAAGAACAUAGUUUAUCUGUAAAGGAUUCUGAAGCCAAAGAUUCCAUCGAUAAACAAAAGAUUCAAUCCAUUAUUUGCUUAAACGACUCAAAGAAAGACAGAUCAGCCUAUGCAAUGAAGAUCGACAAACGAGUAAACCAAAAUACAUAGCAGAUUCAUGAUAUACUUAGACAAACAGUGAACUAAGACUGCAAAUCAAAACACUGAUAUAAUAAUGGGAAAAUAAACAACAAAGACAUUAAGCAUCUGGAAAGAAAAUUCAAAAGAUGAUCCUAAUUCAUACCACAUUAAACAGUAGAGACAGUAAUAUUUCUUAAACUCACUACUAAAAAUAAACAACAACUAUUUGCCAAACUUAAACAAGAAACAGAGAAUUAAUUGGAAAAAAAAAUGAAGCAAGAAAGGAGAAAAGGGUUACCUUUUUCAAGACAGCAACGAAGAUCUCACCACUGAAACGGUCGCUGGACUCUGACGAACAAAGAAGCCUGAUGCAGCAGAAGAAGAAAACGUUUUCCUAUAAAAAAUCCUAAAAUCUGAGCUGCUAUAUUAGCUAUCUGAAAACCCUCGCUCUGUUUUAGAUGAUGAAGAAUUUAUGUGUUCAAAAAAGGGGAUUUGUAGGGAGAAAAUGGGUGGAUGUUGGGGGGAAAACAACGGUCGGAAAUUUUUGUAAGAGACGAGUUCAAAUUUUGAAAAUUCCUUGGAGGAUAAGGAUCCUAACAAAUUUGAGUCGAAAACUGAAAGAAGGACGUUGGGAUUCCUUCUUGAAGGUGUGAUCA
This 4576-nucleotide long non-coding RNA is filed under the name Solanum tuberosum (potato). Its description in RNAcentral is "long non-coding RNA (STUB_LNC006515)". The record is from RNAcentral. Lineage: Eukaryota; Viridiplantae; Streptophyta; Magnoliopsida; Solanales; Solanaceae.